GAGCUUCCUUCAGCAGCACAUAUGCUCAAUUUGGAACAAUACAGAAACUAACAUGGGUCUUGCACAAGGAUGACUCACAAAUUCACAAAGCAGUCAAUAUAUUC
Molecule: small nuclear RNA, 104 nt
Organism: Jaculus jaculus (lesser Egyptian jerboa)
Lineage: Eukaryota; Metazoa; Chordata; Mammalia; Rodentia; Dipodidae
Source: RefSeq, a predicted model, not a curated record